GAUGAACGCUGGCGGCGUGCCUAAUACAUGCAAGUCGAGCGAACGGACGAGAAGCUUGCUUCUCUGAUGUUAGCGGCGGACGGGUGAGUAACACGUGGAUAACCUACCUAUAAGACUGGGAUAACUUCGGGAAACCGGAGCUAAUACCGGAUAAUAUUUUGAACCGCAUGGUUCAAAAGUGAAAGACGGUCUUGCUGUCACUUAUAGAUGGAUCCGCGCUGCAUUAGCUAGUUGGUAAGGUAACGGCUUACCAAGGCAACGAUGCAUAGCCGACCUGAGAGGUUGAUCGGCCACACUGGAACUGAGACACGGUCCAGACUCCUACGGGAGGCAGCAGUGGGGAAUCUUCCGCAAUGGGCGAAAGCCUGACGGAGCAACGCCGCGUGAGUGAUGAAGGUCUUCGGAUCGUAAAACUCUGUUAUUAGGGAAGAACAUAUGUGUAAGUAACUGUGCACAUCUUGACGGUACCUAAUCAGAAAGCCACGGCUAACUACGUG
RNAcentral lists this ribosomal RNA (497 nucleotides) under uncultured bacterium. Its description in RNAcentral is "partial 16S ribosomal RNA". It matches the Rfam family "Bacterial small subunit ribosomal RNA", at positions 28 to 507 of the family's 1533-position model. The record is from RNAcentral.